AGAGUUUGAUCCUGGCUCAGAUUGAACGCUGGCGGCAUGCUUUACACAUGCAAGUCGAACGGCAGCACGGGGGCAACCCUGGUGGCGAGUGGCGGACGGGUGAGUAAUGCGUAGGAAUCUGUCUUUUAGUGGGGGACAACCCAGGGAAACUUGGGCUAAUACCGCAUGAGCCCUGAGGGGGAAAGCGGGGGACCGAAAGGCCUCGCGCUGAAGGAGCGGCCGAUGUCCGAUUAGCUAGUUGGUGAGGUAAAGGCUUACCAAGGCGACGAUCGGUAGCUGGUCUGAGAGGAUGAUCAGCCACACUGGGACUGAGACACGGCCCAGACUCCUACGGGAGGCGAC
RNAcentral lists this ribosomal RNA (342 nucleotides) under uncultured prokaryote. RNAcentral describes it as "bacterial SSU rRNA". It matches the Rfam family "Bacterial small subunit ribosomal RNA", at positions 8 to 352 of the family's 1533-position model. The record is from RNAcentral.